GGUCAAAUCAUCAUGCCCCUUAUGCCUUGGGCUUCACACGUGCUACAAUGGCCGCAACAGAGCGAAGCGAACCCGCGAGGGGGAGCCGACCGCAGAAAAGCGGCCUCAGUUCGGAUUGCAGGCUGCAACCCGCCUGCAUGAAGCCGGAAUCGCUAGUAAUCGCAAAUCAUCACGUUGCGGUGAAUACGUUCCCGGGCCUU
Molecule: ribosomal RNA, 200 nt
Filed under: uncultured prokaryote
Description: partial 16S ribosomal RNA
Rfam family: Bacterial small subunit ribosomal RNA
Source: RNAcentral